CCUACGGGAGGCAGCAGUGAGGAAUAUUGGUCAAUGGACGAGAGUCUGAACCAGCCAAGUAGCGUGAAGGAUGACUGCCCUAUGGGUUGUAAACUUCUUUUAUAUGGGAAUAAAACGUUCCACGUGUGGGAUUUUGUAUGUACCAUAUGAAUAAGGAUCGGCUAACUCCGUGCCAGCAGCCGCGGUAAUACGGAGGAUCCGAGCGUUAUCCGGAUUUAUUGGGUUUAAAGGGAGCGUAGGUGGAUUGUUAAGUCAGUUGUGAAAGUUUGCGGCUCAACCGUAAAAUUGCAGUUGAAACUGGCAGUCUUGAGUGCAGUAGAGGUGGGCGGAAUUCGUGGUGUAGCGGUGAAAUGCUUAGAUAUCACGAAGAACUCCGAUUGCGAAGGCAGUUCACUGGACUGCAACUGACGCUGAGGCUCGAAAGUGUGGGUAUCAAACAGGAUUAGAUACCCGGGUAGUC
This 460-nucleotide ribosomal RNA is filed under the name uncultured bacterium. RNAcentral describes it as "partial 16S ribosomal RNA". It matches the Rfam family "Bacterial small subunit ribosomal RNA", at positions 338 to 795 of the family's 1533-position model. The record is from RNAcentral.